Molecule: long non-coding RNA, 1680 nt
Organism: Ictidomys tridecemlineatus (thirteen-lined ground squirrel)
Lineage: Eukaryota; Metazoa; Chordata; Mammalia; Rodentia; Sciuridae
Source: Ensembl
CCGGGCCAGAGCCGCCGGGCCUCCACACUAACCGAAGGUGCGGACCGGGCCCGCCAACGUGGCCCGGCAGGUUCCCCCGCAGACCUGGGGCAGGCCCGGCAGCCGCGAGCUCUGUGCGCGGGCGAGAUGUGCGGCCCUUGAGUGGGCUGAAUGGAGGACAGCUCGGGCCGGGGCCCCAGGCCAAUCAGGAGCGCCUCUCCAGAUACAAAGCAUCCCAAUCAGGCGGCGGCGCCCCGUUCCCACAUUCUUUGCCGUCACAAAUUGUCACCAUGGGGACCAUCACAAAAAAGACAGCUCCCAAAUGCAAUCAUUUCCCGGUCAAUUUCUACCCUCGGCCCUGCUCGGCGGCCUCCACGCCCCUCCUCCCCUUGACCUCGGUUCCCUGGUUUCUCGAGGGGGCUGUGUGUGUGCGAGUGUGUGUGCGUGUGUGUGAAUGUCCAGGGCCCAGAGGGGCCGGCCGGUGGAGACGGGCUUGCAAACCUCCCCCAAAGACUGCAGCUGCUAUGCUCCAGUGCAGACAGACAAUCGGACAGGAAGCCUUCACCUGUGGCUUGGUGACCACUUGGACUGGCCAGUUCUUUCCCUCCAGCCCAUGUCUUGCAGCACAUUUCCAAGUGGGAAAGUCAGUUCCUGGAAUAUCAGGACGAGGCGCCCUGGGGGCUCCACCAGACACUGAGAGUGCAAGGUAAGGAAGGACGAGGGCCAGCCCAGGUAGCCGCAGAGCCAGUCUCUGCAGCAACCAGCCAGAAGACCAGGCCACAUGCCCUAAGCUGUCCCUCACCACCAGCUCCCUGCUGUGUGCUCCUGUGGCCAACUCAACAGAACCACAAAGCCACAGAGGCCCUGCGUCUGGUCCUCCCACCACCAGCUUCCUGGGACCAGGGCCCUGGGCUCCCCAGAGCCGCCCCUUCUCCCUCUGCAGCCUCUGUGUCUCCCAAUAGCUACCUGAGUGGUCUUGGUUCAUUCCACAACAGAGACCCAGAAAGGGGUGGGCAAUUGUCCCAGGUGGCGCUGGCAGGAGGCAGAGCCCUGCUCUUUCUUUGCUGCCCCUGUACAGUUUCCCUGCGGACUCGCUCCACCUGGAAGCAGGUGGGCUGACUCCCAGCCUUCUCACCCCUUGGCACACACUUCCAGCUCAGCACCUGCCACUCACGGGCUGGGUGGAGGCAGACCAGAACCUUGUGAUGCUCCUCCCUGCAGAGGCGGAGCCCCGUUCCCACCUCGGCCUCCUUGACCAGAUGCUCUUCUAAUCCUUUUAUAUUUGUUAGAAGGAAAAGCAAAAAUGUCACCUGAAAACCAAGUCAACAGGUGCAGCCGGCUCCUCCUUCAGGUCUCUCACUCAGGGAAGCUGGCUGCAGUGCUGUGGGGACUCACAAGCCACCUGAACAGAGGACCACUGAGAAGGAGCUGAGAGGACCUCGGCCGACUGCCAGGGAAGACGCGGGGUCUCCUGUCAAAGCCAGGUGACAGGCCGUCCUGGAAGCAGACCCUCUGGCCCCAGUCAAUAUCUUAACCACAACCUCACGAGAGACUUGGAGCUGAGAGACCUAGCUCAGCCAGGUUCCUGGCCCAAGGCCACCGUGUGAGAUAAUAAAUGCUUGUUUCAAGGUGAUAGACAACAUGCAGCUAAUUAAAGCCACACUCUUCUGUGUUUAUUGGUCUCCGUGUCUAAGCUCCAUC